GGGGAAUAUUGCACAAUGGGCGGAAGCCUGAUGCAGCGACGCCGCGUGGGGGAUGACGGUCUUCGGAUUGUAAACCCCUUUCAGUAGGGACGAAGCGCAAGUGACGGUACCUGCAGAAGAAGCACCGGCCAACUACGUGCCAGCAGCCGCGGUAAUACGUAGGGUGCGAGCGUUGUCCGGAAUUACUGGGCGUAAAGAGCUCGUAGGCGGUUUGUCACGUCGUCCGUGAAAUCCUCCAGCUUAACUGGGGGCGUGCAGGCGAUACGGGCAGACUUGAGUACUACAGGGGAGACUGGAAUUCCUGGUGUAGCGGUGAAAUGCGCAGACAUCAGGAGGAACACCGGUGGCGAAGGCGGGUCUCUGGGUAGUAACUGACGCUGAGGAGCGAAAGCAUGGGUAGCGAAC
This 405-nucleotide ribosomal RNA is filed under the name uncultured bacterium. RNAcentral's name for it is "bacterial SSU rRNA". It matches the Rfam family "Bacterial small subunit ribosomal RNA", at positions 356 to 773 of the family's 1533-position model. The record is from RNAcentral.